UCCCUGAUAGCUCAGUUGGUAAAGAAUCUGCCUACAAUGCAGGAGACCCUGGUUCGAUUCCUGGGUCGGGAA
Molecule: transfer RNA, 72 nt
Filed under: Muntiacus reevesi (Reeves' muntjac)
Lineage: Eukaryota; Metazoa; Chordata; Mammalia; Artiodactyla; Cervidae
Also listed under: 2 other names
Rfam family: tRNA
About the family: Transfer RNA (tRNA) molecules are approximately 80 nucleotides in length. Their secondary structure includes four short double-helical elements and three loops (D, anti-codon, and T loops).
Source: Rfam by way of RNAcentral